UGCCAGCCGCCGCGGUAAGACGGGAGAUGCAAGUGUUAUCCGGAAUUACUGGGCGUAAAGGGUCUGUAGGUUGUUGGUUAAGUCUAUGGUCAAAUUCCGAAGCUCAACUUCGGGCCGGCACUAGAAACUAAUCAACUUGAGUACGUUAGAGGCAGGGGGAAUUCCCAGUGUAGCGGUGAAAUGCGUAGAUAUUGGGAGGAACAUCAAUGGCGACGGCGGCUCACUGGCUCGAUACUGACGCUGAGGUACGAAAGUGUGGGGAGCAAACAGGAUUAGAUA
This 279-nucleotide ribosomal RNA is filed under the name uncultured bacterium. RNAcentral's name for it is "partial 16S ribosomal RNA". It matches the Rfam family "Bacterial small subunit ribosomal RNA", at positions 506 to 784 of the family's 1533-position model. The record is from RNAcentral.